This is a long non-coding RNA of Artibeus jamaicensis (Jamaican fruit-eating bat), 2143 nucleotides long. RefSeq lists it as uncharacterized. Lineage: Eukaryota; Metazoa; Chordata; Mammalia; Chiroptera; Phyllostomidae. The record is from RefSeq and is a predicted model, not a curated record. The transcript has 4 exons.
UGUUUAUUCAGUGAUGUGAUGGCCCUAACUCGUGUUUCUGGAUGAGAAAGUGGGAUUGGGUGACUGGAAAGUGUUCUUGUUGCCUUCGUAUGUAAGUGCUACUCAGUGUACUCAUAACAUAUGCCAAGUUCAUCUGUGAAAAUCCUUCUCUUCCUUAUUUCAACGGUUAUCUAGAGCCUAACACUUCAACAGCAGUGACUAUAUUUCUGUAACAUAAAAGAAGCUAUUGUAAUUUAACAUCUUACUCCAUUUUGGAUGGUUCUAGCUUUGAAUUGUUUCAAAAGAGGACUUUUGUAGUUAAGUUGAAAAAAACCUGACAGGUUUUUUCCCCCGCCUGUGGGUAAACAUGCAACACAUACACAUAUAAAGUCAAGUAUCUUAGGAAAUUUCAUAUUUGCUGGUUUUGUGUAUAUAAGAUUUCAUACUUCAGAUAGUUGUAGAAAUGAAGAAUUAAAUUUAAUUUUUAAAACAAACAUUUACAUAUAAAGUUGUUUUGAAUUUGAAAGCAGCGUCUUAUUCAGUAAUAUGUUUUUUUGAAAAAGAAAAUUGAGACUAACAAGGUCAAAGCAUAUUAGCUACUGAAAAGUAUUAAUUCAGUACUAAAGGUGGAUAAGCAGCAGUUCUUACCUUUUGUAAUUUAUGUCUGAUAAAAUUUCUUCUGAAGUAUUAUAUAAGGUUUGUUAAAAUGUAUCUUAUUUAGAAAAAAAGUUAGUUCAAUGUUAGGUAUUCAAGAGGAAAUAUGAAUGAAAAUCAGCCACUCUGUACAUGAUAUAAAAGUGUGUGCAAAUAUGCAUUUUUCAUGAGAAAUUGAUUUUGUGUGUCACUGCACAGUCACUAAACUCUGUAUGUCUAAAUGUUAUAAGUGAUGUAGACUUAAUUUCUGAGAAAUGUUUAAUUAGCCAAUGGUUUUAAACUCACUGAUAUUUGGCCAUCAUCAUAUUUAGAGUAACAGUUGGCCAAUAGAGUGAUAGUAUAUAAUUUGAGAAAGAAUUUUAUUUGUCAAAAGUUCAGAAACAGAAUGAUGUUUAAAAAACAUUUAGGGAGUGAGAAGAGGCAGAGUAAAUACCAUUUUUUCAUAUUCUGUAAUGUUUAGUCAUUGUUUGCUCUUUAAAUGAAUAUUUUAUCUUAGUAAGGACUUUUUUCCUUUGAGGAGAAAUGGUUGAAUUUUCAGCGUUCAUGCCAUUUGUCCCUUAGUUUUUCUACCUUGUCUCAACAAUGCUCCAGUUGUGAAUGCUGAAGGUUACUUCCCUCAUCACUGUUUUUCUUCAUUCUUUCCUUAAACCAGAAACCUAUUUUUGCUUUUAAAAAUGCAAAUAAAAGAUACUUGUGUAUUCCACUGGCAGUUACAUUCAGUAGUGUUUCUUUUCUUUGCAUUAUUGUUGGGGAAGUUUUAAAAAAAUAAAAAUAAUGCUUCACAAAACAAAGCUAUAAAUCUUCAACUAUCACAGAGAUUUAUUUCAAAAAGAGCUAAACAAUUUCUGCUAAAGGCAUCCAAGUGACAGCUAACGUAAGGAUUGCAGUGGAUUCAAAGGUAAGCCUUUUAAUUUAUAUUCAAAUUAACUCAAUAUUCAUAUUUAAUAAAAAAAGAACUGAUCAUUUCACCAACCUUUAUCAUUAGCAGGAAUAUACGUUUUAUUCAAUACCAGAGGCUGUUUGCAGAUCUAUUCUUCAUUAUGCAAAAAACUCAUAUAACACAGAUUUUAGUAUACUUUUUGGGACACACUUAUGGAGAGUACAUACUGAAUGUUAAAGAAAAAACAGAAAUAUUACCUAUAUAUGUGGAGUCUCCAAAUGUGACUAUCAUUAAUAAUUAUGCCACAUAAUUAUAUUUUCAAUGGCCAUUUGGAGGGCCUAGUGUUUUUGCGAAGUGCCUCUGGACUUGUUCCAAGGACAAGAAGCAAGAAGUGCGGUGAAGAAUCAGUAAGAACUUAUUACCUGAUGGAAAUGAGGAAAAGCAGCCCUUGAAGUCUGAUGAAGGCAAUUCACCAUGGAGAAUAGGUGUUACCACGAGGAAUGCAAGUAUGGUCACCUUAAACAUUAGCCAACAGAUGCAUUUUAAGCCACUGUGGCAAUAUUUUCUCCCUACACUCCUAAAACUUUGCAAGAAAAGAUUAUGAAAAAUGCUCUUCUCUAUUUCCAAGUA